UCUCAGAGACCAUCUAGAACCACCCCCAAUGCAGUCAAAGCAGGAUAUGGCAAUGGGGCCCAAAGCAUCCUUAUUUAUCACAGCUAAGACUUACCUGACAGGAUGGGUCAGGGCAACCAGGGCUGGGAGGGGGAGGCCUCCACCUGGGACCCCCCUCAGAAGGAGGAGGAAGAGGAAGAGGCUGCUGUCCAUCAUUCUGGAAGAGCUAGGGCCCCUCAGUGCAAGGAAGACCUCUUUCCACUCCUCACAGAGACAGCCUUUUCCCCAUCUGCGGAGUUUCAGGUCUGGGGAGGGGGCGUCUCCUUGGUCCGGUUCCCAAGACAGGGCGAAGCUGCAGCCUCAAAGGGAGGGGGCUGCUUCCGAGCCCGGACUCCUUUCGGGGCUUCAGGAGGGAGGGAGGGGGUCUCCCGCCCUCCUCGGCCCCUUUGUUGCGGGCGGGGAAAGACUACAGCCCCCAGCAGCCCCCGCGCCGCCCCCUCCUUCCCUCCCCCAUAGAGGGCGGGGCCUCAUGCAAUUCCCUCCUCUGGCUCCGCCCCCUGGGGGGUGGCACGUGGGGAGGGGUCCUCCGCCUUUCCCUCCUCCCUCCCUCCCCUGGCUCCUCCUUUUGCCUCUGGGUCCCAGACAAGCAUCUUGAGCGCUGAGCAUUGCUCCUGGAGCAUUGAUUGCAGCACAACAACAACAACACACCUGGGAGUCACUCUGGACUGUGCUCCCACUUACAAGAAGCACUGCUUGACUAUCAAGCAAAAACUGGACACUGGAAAUAACAUUAUGUGAAAGCUGACUGGCACAAGCUGGAGGUCACAACCAGGCACAGCAAAGACCUCUGCCCUUGACUUUACUGCUCUGCUGCUGAAUACGCAUGUCCAAUGUGGAACACAUCUCGCCACGUGAAAACAGUGGAUGCGGCUCUUAAUGAGACAUGCUGCAUGACUAAAGGAUGUUGACGCCCCACACCGUUGGAGGAAUUAUACUGUUUAGCUGUAUUGCAACAAGUUAAAAUAUGAACCAACAAUGUCAUCCGGCAGCUAAAACGCCAAUGGGAUGUUGGCCUGCAUCAAGAGGAGUCUCGUGGCUAGAUCCAGGGAAGUCAUGCUGCCCCUCUAUUCUAUUCUGCCUUGGUCAGACCACACCUGGAAUCACACUGGGUCCAGUUCUGGGCACUGCACUGGAAGGGUGAUGUUGACUCUGAGCUGAGAUGUGUCCAGAGGAGGGCAACUCAAAGGAUCAAGCAUCUGGAGAAUAAGCCCUAUGAGGAGCAGCUUAAAGAACCGGGCAUGUUGAGCCUGUAGAAGAGAAGGCUGAGAGGAGACAGGAUGAGGGCCAUGUAUAAAUAGGUGAGGGGGAGUCCUAGGGAGGAGGGAGCAAGCUUGUUUUCUGCUGCCCUGGAGACUGGGACACAAUGGAGCAAUGGCUUCAAACUACAGGAUAGGAAGGAGAGUCCACCUGAACAUGAGGAACAACUUCCUGACUGUGAAAGAAUGCUGUUCAGCAGUGGAACUCUCUGCCCCGGAGUCUGUGGAAACUCCUUCUCUGGAGGCUUUGAAACAGGCUGGAUGGCCAUCUGUUGGAGAUGCUUUGAAUGCGAUUUUCCUGCUUCUUGGCAGAAUGGGGUUGGACUGGACGGCCCACCAGGUCUCUUCCAACUCUAGGAUUCUAUGGUUCUCUAUCUAUGGCAAAGUGCGUUAAAGCGCUGAGCUGGAGACCAAAAGGUCCCAGGCUCAAAACCCAGGAGCGGGGGGAGCGGCCGCUGUUAGCUCCAGCUCCUGCCAACCUAGCAGUUCAAAAACAUUCCAAUGUGAGUAGAUCAAUACUCACAUCUGGCGGGAAGGUAACGGCGCUCCAUGCAGUCAUGCCGGCCACAUGACCUGGAGGCGUCUACGGACAAUGCCAGCUCUUCCGCUUAGAAAUGGAGAUGAGCACCAACCCCCAGAGUCAGACAUGACUGGACAUAAUGUCAGGGGAAAACCUUUACCUUUUUUACUAUCUACUUCUCCCCUCCAAAAAUGUUUUUUCUCCUAACUCAAGUUUCUCAUAGAACCUCACGCUUCCAGGGAAACCAAGUCUUUAGGUCUUGUCAUUAUUAUAGCUUUUAUUUUUACCCUGUUUUUCUCACGGAGAUAGAACCCUAAGUGACGCAAUAUUGAAAGGCACCCCAAUUAAAAGCAUACCAAAGCUAGGUAUUAAAACAUGGCAUGGAAUGCAUAACAGAAUUGAAAUACAUUGAAUGUGAAUUUAUAUGUGGAAUGCAUAACAGAAUUGAAAUACAUUGAAUGUGAAUUUAUAUGUGGAAUGCAUAACAGAAUUGAAAUACAUUGAAUGUGAAUUUAUAUGUGGAAUGCAUAACAGAAUUGAAAUACAUUGAAUGUGAAUUUAUAUGUGGAAUGCAUAACAGAAUUGAAAUACAUUGAAUGUGAAUUUAUAUGUGGAAUGCAUAACAGAAUUGAAAUACAUUGAAUGUGAAUUUAUAUGUGGAAUGCAGAACAGAAUUGAAAUACAUUGAAUGUGAAUUUAUAACUCCUUUUAAGGCCAGUUCCCUGACCCAAGGCAGGAUCCUCUUGUGUAUUCUUUGUACACAAAAACUUUUGAAGUCCUGUCUGAAUAAAAGGGUUUUGUCCUGCCGCCUGAAGGAUGGCAAGGAGGGGGCUGGCCUGGCCUCUGUGGGUUGGGAUGCUAGAAACCAGGCCCACCCUGACCCAUUUUUUGGAGCCUUGCCUUCAAAAGAUGGGCGCAUCCUUACAGCAUUCUUGUGAGGCAGGCUCAAAUGGAAGAGAGCUCUACAGUCCAGGCUGUGGCUGCAUCAGGGUCUCCUUUCCAAGGCUUUGCCCUACUGAAAUGAGAUGCUGAAUCCAAAGGUUGCAAUGGUCAGUUUUGAAUAUGAGCUAAGACUUAAAAGGAGUGUGUACUUUGAUUGUGCUUUUCCUACAUGGCAGACAAGGGUUGGACGAGGUGGUCCAUGCAGCCUCCUCCAACUCUUCCCCCACAACCCCUUCCCUCCCUCGGCAGCAUAAUAGACCUUUGUAAAGAUCUGAUUUAUUAACAAAAACUCCAAUACCCUUGUCCUCUUUUUUAUUUUUCUUUCCUUUUUGUGCGAGAAAAAAAAAGAGAAAAUGCUCAAUCAAAACUUACGGUAAAAAAAUGAAGUAGCAGAAGUCAUGUCAGAACCCGUGGCCAUCCUCUUUUUGAAAAAUCCUGGAUAACAAGAGGAAGUCCAAGCAGUAAAAUAAGGCAAACCUCCCUUCGGCUAUAAAUAAAGUUUCAUUUCAUAUCAGAUGUGGUCCCCAUCUUCAAAAAGUGGGAUGGGGAAAUCCUAAUGCUCUGAAUGUCCUCAGACGAAUAUGGUCUGCGUGGGAAAUCAACAUCCACCAAGGUAGGCGUGGGCAAACUUUGGCCCUCCACCUUGGAGGAAGAGGGCAGUGGAGCUUACUUGAGGGACCAUCCAGCCUCUGGCUACAGCUCUGCAGCCUCCCCCCCCCCCACUCCACGCCAGUGUGUGGAUAAGAGCGGAGGGGAAAGAACUUGCCAAACUCGAGAAACACCUUGGAGGAAGAGGGCAGUGGAGCUUACUUAAGGGACCAUCCAGCCUCUGGCUACAGCUCUGCAGCCUCCCCCCCCCACUCCACGCCAGUGUGUGGAUAAGAGCGGAGGGGAAAGAACUUGCCAAACUCCAGAAACACCUUGGAGGAAGAGGGCAGUGGAGCUUACUUAAGGGACCAUCCAACCUUUGGCUACAGGGGAAAGAACCUUGUAUAGCUUCUGUCCUAUUGAGCUGCUGCCUGCUGAGCACUUUAAAAACCAGAUGUUCGUCAAACACUUUGUGGGGACAGUGUUGUCGUCAUUACUGCACUUUUAAGUGUAGAAGGGGCACCAAUAAGCACUUUCCAGUAGAACUGAACUGCUGCACUGCACUUUAUGAACUAAACCGCUUACCACCUAUAUUACACCAAUAUUUAUUAUGAUAACAUCAAAUACCUAUUGCUGGACCCUUCUUUGGACUUGAAUUAAGC
RNAcentral lists this long non-coding RNA (4007 nucleotides) under Anolis carolinensis (green anole). RNAcentral describes it as "lncRNA (ENSACAG00000041677.1)". Lineage: Eukaryota; Metazoa; Chordata; Lepidosauria; Squamata; Anolidae. The record is from RNAcentral.